Molecule: ribosomal RNA, 1419 nt
Filed under: metagenome
Description: bacterial LSU rRNA
Rfam family: Bacterial large subunit ribosomal RNA
Source: RNAcentral
AGCGGAAGCCGGGAAUGGGAUCCCGGUGCAAGCGAGGUACCAGCCACAUUGGAAAAACCGUGUGGCAAUGGGAAGACGUGAUGCGGAGCGAAAUAAAGUAGCGAAGUCCGUGAGCUGUGCGUCAAGAAAAGCCGCUAUUGUUCAUACCAUACCCGUACCGUAAACCGACGCAGGUGGAUGAGGAGAGAAUCCUAAGGCCGGCGGAAGAAGCAUUGUCAAGGAACUCGGCAAAAUGACCCCGUAACUUCGGGAGAAGGGGUGCCUGUGAAAACAGGCCGCAGAGAAUAGGCUCAAGCAACUGUUUAGCAAAAACACAGGUCUAUGCGAAACCGAAAGGUGAGGUAUAUGGGCUGACGCCUGCCCGGUGCUGGAAGGUUAAGAGGAGAGGUUAGCGCAAGCGAAGCUUUGAAUUUAAGCCCCAGUAAACGGCGGCCGUAACUAUAACGGUCCUAAGGUAGCGAAAUUCCUUGUCGGGUAAGUUCCGACCCGCACGAAAGGCGUAAUGAUUUGAGCGCUGUCUCGACAAUGCAUCCGGUGAAAUUGAAGUACCAGUGAAGAUGCUGGUUACCUGCGCCAGGACGGAAAGACCCCAUGGAGCUUUACUCCAGUUUGGUACUGGGAUCCGGUACUGCAUGUACAGGAUAGGUGGGAGGCUAUGAAGCGGUAACGCCAGUUGCCGCAGAGCCGCUGUUGGGAUACCACCCUUGCAGUAUUGGGUUUCUAACCAGCCGCCGUGAACCGGCGGUGGGACAAUGCCAGACGGGGAGUUUGACUGGGGCGGUCGCCUCCGAAAGGGUAUCGGAGGCGCCCAAAGGUUCCCUCAGAAUGGACGGAAACCAUUCGAAGAGUGCAAAGGCAGAAGGGAGCUUGACUGCGACACCGACGGGUGGAGCAGGUACGAAAGUAGGGCUUAGUGAUCCGGUGGUAUUAAGUGGGAAUGCCAUCGCUCAACGGAUAAAAGCUACCCUGGGAUAACAGGCUUAUCACUCCCAAGAGUUCACAUCGACGGAGUGGUUUGGCACCUCGAUGUCGGCUCAUCGCAUCCUGGGGCUGUAGUAGGUCCCAAGGGUUUGGCUGUUCGCCCAUUAAAGCGGUACGCGAGCUGGGUUCAGAACGUCGUGAGACAGUUCGGUCCCUAUCCGGCGUGGGCGUAGGAUAUCUGAGAGGAGCUGUCCUUAGUACGAGAGGACCGGGAUGGACGGACCGCUGGUGUACCGGUUAGACUGCCAAGUCUACGGCCGGGUAGCCAAGUCCGGAAGGGAUAAACGCUGAAGGCAUCUAAGCGUGAAGCCCCCCUCGAGAUGAGAUAUCCCAUCCGAAAGGAGUAAACCCCCUUGAAGACGACGAGGUUGAUAGGGCAGGGGUGGAAGCACAGUAAUGUGUGGAGCUGACUGCUACUAAUAGGGUGAGGGCUUGAUC